AGCAGCCGCGGUAAUUCCAGCUCCAAUAGCGUAUAUUAAAGUUGCUGCAGUUAAAAAGCUCGUAGUUGAAUUUCGGGACUAAUAUGUCGGUCGUGCCUCGGUACGUACUGGCUUAUUGGUUUCUCCUUUCUGAAGAACUAUGAUGUCAUUUAUUUGGUGUCGUGGGGAAUCAGGACUGUUACUUUGAAAAAAUUAGAGUGUUUAAAGCAGGCUCACGCUUGAAUACAUUAGCAUGGAAUAAUGAAAUAGGACGUUUGAUUCUAUUUUGUUGGUUUCUAGGAUCGACGUAAUGAUUAAUAGGGAUAGUUGGGGGCAUUAGUAUUCAAUUGUCAGAGGUGAAAUUCUUGGAUUUAUUGAAGACUAACUACUGCGAAAGCAUUUGCCAAGGAUGUUUUCAUUAAUCAAGAACGAAAGUUAGGGGAUCGAAGACGAUCAGAUACCGUCGUAGUUUUAACCAUAAACUAUGCCGACUAGGGAUCGGAUGAUGUUAAUUUUUUAAUGACUCA
Molecule: ribosomal RNA, 506 nt
Filed under: uncultured Glomeraceae
Lineage: Eukaryota; Fungi; Glomeromycota; Glomeromycetes; Glomerales; Glomeraceae
Description: SSU rRNA
Rfam family: Eukaryotic small subunit ribosomal RNA
Source: RNAcentral